ACGAACGCUGGCGGCGCGCUUCACACAUGCAAGUCGAACGGAAAGGCCUGCUUUCCCUUGUGGAUUGCGGGUACUCGAGUGGCGAACGGGUGAGUAACACGUGAGUGAUCUGCCCCCAACUUGGGUAUAAGCCUGGGAAACUGGGUCUAAUUCCCGAUAGGACUGCAGGGUGGUGCCUGUGGUGGAAAACGAUUUUCUAGUGGUUGGGGAUGAGCUCGCGGCCUAUCAGCUUGUUGGUGGGGUAAUGGCCUACCAAGGCGGCGACGGGUAGCCGGCCUGAGAGGGUGGACGGGCACAUUGGGACUGAGAUACGGCCCAGACUCCUACGGGAGGCAGCAGUGGGGAAUAUUGCACAAUGGGCGGAAGCCUGAUGCAGCGACGCCGCGUGGGGGAUGACGGCCUUCGGGUUGUAAACUCCUUUCGACCGCGAGGAAGCCACCUGGUUGGAAGGGUGGUGACGGUAGUGGUAGAAGAAGCACCGGCUAACUACGUG
RNAcentral lists this ribosomal RNA (493 nucleotides) under uncultured bacterium. Its description in RNAcentral is "partial 16S ribosomal RNA". It matches the Rfam family "Bacterial small subunit ribosomal RNA", at positions 29 to 507 of the family's 1533-position model. The record is from RNAcentral.